This 460-nucleotide ribosomal RNA is filed under the name uncultured bacterium. Its description in RNAcentral is "partial 16S ribosomal RNA". It matches the Rfam family "Bacterial small subunit ribosomal RNA", at positions 338 to 795 of the family's 1533-position model. The record is from RNAcentral.
CCUACGGGAGGCAGCAGUGAGGAAUAUUGGUCAAUGAACGAGAGUCUGAACCAGCCAAGUAGCGUGAAGGAUGACUGCCCUAUGGGUUGUAAACUUCUUUUAUAUGGGAAUAAAAUGUUCCACGUGUGGGAUUUUGUAUGUACCAUAUGAAUAAGGAUCGGCUAACUCCGUGCCAGCAGCCGCGGUAAUACGGAGGAUCCGAGCGUUAUCCGGAUUUAUUGGGUUUAAAGGGAGCGUAGGUGGAUUGUUAAGUCAGUUGUGAAAGUUUGCGGCUCAACCGUAAAAUUGCAGUUGAAACUGGCAGUCUUGAGUACAGUAGAGGUGGGCGGAAUUCGUGGUGUAGCGGUGAAAUGCUUAGAUAUCACGAAGAACUCCGAUUGCGAAGGCAGUUCACUGGACUGCAACUGACACUGAGGCUCGAAAGUGUGGGUAUCAAACAGGAUUAGAUACCCGAGUAGUC